AAUGCCAAGCAACCGCGAUUGCUCUAGUAACGGCGAGUGAACCGGCAAUGUCAAGGCUCAACCCGGACGGAUCCCAUCUGCCUCUGCCCUCGGGCAGUCUGUGCAGCCGGCUAUGCUGUGGUUAUCCGAAGCUGUGGGCUGAAAGGAGCGGGCAGUGUGUGCCAGGGCUGGCCGAGGCCCCAGGAAGGUGCCCUGGAAUGGACCGCCACGGAGGGAUACUGUCCCGUACUCCGUCGUGGGCCCCGGCCGCCCCGGUGCUGCUGUUCGUAUCCAUGAGUAGAUCUGCUUGGGACUGCAGUUUGAAGCGCGACAUGUAUCCGUCGCAAGGUGCAAUACCGCUGUGGGACCGAUAGCGCACAAGUAGAGUGAUUGAAGGAUGCAAAGGACUUUGCAAAGAGGGUUAAAAGUCCCUGAAGCCUCGGCAGGAACGGUGGAGUGUGGUGCUGUGCUGUGGGACUCGUUCCCCAAGGACCAAGGCAGCCUCGGGCCAGCCCCGUGCUGGCCGCUGAGCCCUUCGCCCAGGCGAUGGAUGCAGUCGCGGUAGCUUAUGUGGGUGACAGUCGGCCUGUCAGGGCCUGAGGCUCGCUGAUGAACCUGGUGUGUCUCCGGGCAUGCCAGUCGCCAUCGAUCCGCUCCCGGCUCAGGGGCUGGUGGACGCGUUGGGGGCCCGUCACCUCCCGGUGGCGGCCGCCGCGUGCCCCGGCCGGCCCCCCGGACGGAACGUGGUGUAGCAGACGAGGGCAGCGGAGCUUGGUCAAUCAGUGCCGCUCUCUGCCCGUCUUGAAACACGGACCAAGGAGUCUAUGGAGCUUGCAGGUUGGUAAGCCGAAACUGUGCCCCAGGCAUGGUGAAGGCGAGCCUUCCAGACGGCAUGGAGCCACGUGCGAGAGUGCCUGCAUGGAACACCGGCCCCCGCGUCCAGUGGACGGGGUUUUGAGUGAUGGCAAGGUCCAUGGGACCCGAAAGGUGGUGAACUAUACCUAGCCACGACGAAGCCAUGGGAAACUGUGGUGGAGGUCGGUCGCUGUUCUGACGUGCAAAUUGUGUAGCCUGAGCUUGGCAUAGGGGUGAAAGGCCAAUCGAACCACCUAGUAGCUGGUUUCCCU
RNAcentral lists this ribosomal RNA (1106 nucleotides) under Phacus orbicularis. RNAcentral describes it as "partial large subunit ribosomal RNA". It matches the Rfam family "Eukaryotic large subunit ribosomal RNA", at positions 56 to 961 of the family's 3401-position model. The record is from RNAcentral. Lineage: Eukaryota; Euglenozoa; Euglenophyceae; Euglenales; Phacaceae.